RNAcentral lists this ribosomal RNA (578 nucleotides) under Candidatus Roizmanbacteria bacterium RIFCSPHIGHO2_12_FULL_38_13. RNAcentral describes it as "bacterial LSU rRNA". It matches the Rfam family "Bacterial large subunit ribosomal RNA", at positions 17 to 507 of the family's 2925-position model. Lineage: Bacteria; Candidatus Roizmaniibacteriota. The record is from RNAcentral.
GCCAUUGGUGGAUGCCUUGGCAGUUUGAGCCGAAGAAGGACGCGUGUUCGAGCGCGAAAACAUCGAUGAGUCCUUAAACAGACGUUAUCAAUCGAUGGUUUCCGAAUGGGGAAACCCCACCUUGCGAAAGCAAGGUGAAUACCCGUUUCGCAAGGAAGUUACGAGUUGGUGAGUUACGAGUUUGUAAAUUCAAUUAUUGACUUACAAACUUACAGACUUUCUGACUUACUGACUCCCUCGCGAAGCGGGUGUUGGGAACCUGGUGAACUGAAACAUCUAAGUAACCAGAGGAACAGAAAUCAUCAUGAGAUUCCGUAAGUAGCGGCGAGCGAAAACGGAACAGCCUAAACCCCGCCUUCGGGCGGGACUAUGCGGGACCGCAAUAUCCGAUGAAAUAUCGAUAAAAGAAUGAUCUGGAAAGAUCAGCCAUAGACGGUGACAGCCCAGUAUUUGACAUCGAUGUUUCCGGUAGCGGAUUCCCAAGUACCACGUGGCACGGCAAACCAUGUGGGAAACAGGGUCGGUCACGAUCCAAGGCUAAAUACUCAAACUGACCGAUAGUGAACUAGUACUGCGAA